UUGAGAAGAAAGAAGAAGGUUGGUUAGUGUUUGUGAGUCGAAUAUGACUUGAUGUCAUGUGUAUGAUUGAAUAUAAGAACUUAAACAGCAACCGGAUCUUAAAGGCGUAAGAAUUGUAUCCUUAUUAGAAGACACAAAGCCAAAGACUCAUAUGGACUUUGGCUACACCAUGAAAGCUUUGAUAAGCAAGAAGAAGGUUGGUUAGUGUUUUGGAGUCGAAUAUGACUUGUUGUCAUGUGUGUGAUUGAGUAUAACAACUCAAACCGCAAG
Molecule: small RNA, 270 nt
Filed under: Arabidopsis thaliana (thale cress)
Lineage: Eukaryota; Viridiplantae; Streptophyta; Magnoliopsida; Brassicales; Brassicaceae
Description: ATSL088890
Source: RNAcentral